GAUGAAGAACGCAGCGAAACGCGAUACGUAAUGUGAAUUGCAGAAUUCAGUGAAUCAUCGAAUCUUUGAACGCAUAUUGCGCUCUCUGGUAUUCCGGAGAGCAUGCUUGUUUGAGUAUCAGUAAACACCUCAACUCCCUUUUCUUUUUUGAAAUUGGAGCUGGACUUGAGUGAUCCCAACGCUUUCUUCCAAGAAAGUGGCGGGUUGCUUGAAAUGCAGGUGCAGCUGAACUUUUCUCUGAGCUAUAAGCAUAUCUAUUUAGUCUGCCUAAAAAACAGAUUAUUACCUUUGCUGCAGCUAACAUAAAGGAGACUAGUUCUUGUGCUGACUGAUGCAGGAUUCACAGAGACAGCUUCGGCUGACUUUGUAAACUCGAUCUCAAAUCAAGUAAGACUACCCGCUGAACUUAAGCAUAUCAAUAAGCGGAGGA
Molecule: unclassified non-coding RNA, 430 nt
Filed under: soil metagenome
Description: partial contains 5.8S ribosomal RNA, internal transcribed spacer 2, and large subunit ribosomal RNA
Rfam family: 5.8S ribosomal RNA (bases 1-120)
Source: RNAcentral